GUACGAACGCUGGCGGCGUGCUUAACACAUGCAAGUCGAACGAUGAGGCCCAGCUUGCUGGGUGGAUUAGUGGCGAACGGGUGAGUAACACGUGAGUAACCUGCCCUUGACUCUGGGAUAAGCGCUGGAAACGGCGUCUAAUACCGGAUACGACCUACCCCGGCAUCGGGUGUGGGUGGAAAGUUUUUCGGUCAAGGAUGGACUCGCGGCCUAUCAGCUUGUUGGUGAGGUAAUGGCUCACCAAGGCGACGACGGGUAGCCGGCCUGAGAGGGUGACCGGCCACACUGGGACUGAGACACGGCCCAGACUCCUACGGGAGGCAGCAGUGGGGAAUAUUGCACAAUGGGCGAAAGCCUGAUGCAGCAACGCCGCGUGAGGGAUGACGGCCUUCGGGUUGUAAACCUCUUUUAGUAGGGAAGAAGGGCUUCGGCUUGACGGUACCUGCAGAAAAAGCACCGGCUAACUACGUGCCAGCAGCCGCGGUAAUACGUAGGGUGCAAGCGUUGUCCGGAAUUAUUGGGCGUAAAGAGCUCGUAGGCGGUUUGUCGCGUCUGCUGUGAAAACCCGAGGCUCAACCUCGGGCCUGCAGUGGGUACGGGCAGGCUAGAGUGCGGUAGGGGAGAAUGGAAUUCCUGGUGUAGCGGUGGAAUGCGCAGAUAUCAGGAGGAACACCGAUGGCGAAGGCAGUUCUCUGGGCCGUAACUGACGCUGAGGAGCGAAAGCGUGGGGAGCGAACAGGAUUAGAUACCCUGGUAGUCCACGCCGUAAACGUUGGGCGCUAGAUGUGGGGACCUUUCCACGGUUUCCGUGUCGCAGCUAACGCAUUAAGCGCCCCGCCUGGGGAGUACGGCCGCAAGGCUAAAACUCAAAGGAAUUGACGGGGGCCCGCACAAGCGGCGGAGCAUGCGGAUUAAUUCGAUGCAACGCGAAGAACCUUACCAAGGCUUGACAUAUACGAGAACGGGCCAGAAAUGGUCAACUCUUUGGACACUCGUAAACAGGUGGUGCAUGGUUGUCGUCAGCUCGUGUCGUGAGAUGUUGGGUUAAGUCCCGCAACGAGCGCAACCCUCGUUCUAUGUUGCCAGCACGUUAUGGUGGGAACUCAUAGGAGACUGCCGGGGUCAACUCGGAGGAAGGUGGGGAUGACGUCAAAUCAUCAUGCCCCUUAUGUCUUGGGCUUCACGCAUGCUACAAUGGCCGGUACAAAGGGCUGCGAUACCGUAAGGUGGAGCGAAUCCCAAAAAGCCGGUCUCAGUUCGGAUUGAGGUCUGCAACUCGACCUCAUGAAGUCGGAGUCGCUAGUAAUCGCAGAUCAGCAACGCUGCGGUGAAUACGUUCCCGGGCCUUGUACACACCGCCCGUCAAGUCAUGAAAGUCGGUAACACCCGAAGCCGGUGGCCUAACCUUUUGGAGGGAGCCGUCGAAGGUGGGAUCGGUGA
This 1440-nucleotide ribosomal RNA is filed under the name uncultured organism. RNAcentral's name for it is "SSU rRNA". It matches the Rfam family "Bacterial small subunit ribosomal RNA". The record is from RNAcentral.